UACGUAGGGGGCAAGCGUUGUCCGGAUUUAUUGGGCGUAAAGAGCGUGUAGGCGGUCAGGUAGGUCCGUUGUGAAAACUCGAGGCUCAACCUCGAGACGCCGAUGGAAACCAUCUGACUAGAGUCCGGAAGAGGAGAGUGGAAUUCCUGGUGUAGCGGUGAAAUGCGCAGAUAUCAGGAAGAACACCCGUGGCUAAGGCGGCUCUCUAGUACGGUACUGACGCUGAGAAGCGAAAGCGUGGGGAGCGAACAGG
Molecule: ribosomal RNA, 253 nt
Filed under: uncultured bacterium
Lineage: Bacteria
Description: partial 16S ribosomal RNA
Rfam family: Bacterial small subunit ribosomal RNA
Source: RNAcentral